UUGGAGAAGCAGGGCACGUGCAGAGACACGCCGGAGCACGGCCGCCGCCGAUCUACCGACCUCCCAAACCUGCCUUAUGGUGUGGGGGUGGAGGUCGUCGGUGGAAGCGAUAGCUGUCGUUGUUGCUUCGAUGUUGUUAGCUCCUCCUGCACGUGCUCCCCUUCUCCACCA
This is a non-coding RNA of Zea mays, 171 nucleotides long. Lineage: Eukaryota; Viridiplantae; Streptophyta; Magnoliopsida; Poales; Poaceae. The record is from RefSeq and is marked provisional.